CUUUCUUUUGCAUUCUGUUUAGCUUCCUUGUCAUCAAGAGCCGGGCUCAUUGCCAUACUCGCUAUUGAGUUUCGUGAGUUCGUGCUGAUGCAGCAACCAAACGUUGCGGCAACUAAAACCUGCUCAGUUAAAAACCAAAAAGGUAUUUUAUUACGGUAUAGAGGGGAGCCUGCAAAGAAGACAAUGAUAGACAAAAAUAGGCUGAGCAUUGCAAUUCCAAAGCCCCACUCCCACCCUUUGUUGUCUUCAACCCACACCACCAAUGUCACUGCAAUUAGGCCACCACAUGAGAGGCAAAAGACGAAGUAGUUGAAGAAUGUGGAUCUUCUUUUCCUGCCCUGUGGGGUACUGUCAUCAAACUGCUCAGCCCCAUGUGAUGGCAGCGACCCCUUUAUGCCACCGACCCCUAAUGCCACCAGAUAUAGUCCCGCGAACAGCAUUGCUGCUUUGCCACCGCUCGCUUCUUCACACACGGCGUAAUGAUUUGCUUGGCGAUCACAUGGAGGAGGCAUCAGUGAUGGCAUCUUAGCUUGUAUCAACAAUAUUGCCAACCCCUGCUCAAAUGCUUGGCUUUAGAUUUUGCAUAUUGUACAAGAAACUAUGAAAAAAGAAGAAGCAAAGAAGUUGACUGAGCCCCGAGGAUAAGAAAAGUAGAGUUGUAUGACACAGUUAUAGCUUUAUUACUAUUAUCAUCUCCUCGAUCAAUUGUAAUACAUAUUUUAUAAAAGGAUAAUGGUUUGAUAAAUUUAACUUUGAUAAUGUUAUCAAACUCGUCGAAGUGCCAAAGGUUGUCGUGUGGUUGUCAGUAGAAGGAGUUAAUAAAACAUGAAGUUGAUGUCUUUUAGUUA
Long non-coding RNA from Cucumis melo (muskmelon), 848 nucleotides. RefSeq lists it as uncharacterized. The record is from RefSeq and is a predicted model, not a curated record. Lineage: Eukaryota; Viridiplantae; Streptophyta; Magnoliopsida; Cucurbitales; Cucurbitaceae. The transcript has 2 exons.